Molecule: long non-coding RNA, 738 nt
Organism: Malaya genurostris
Lineage: Eukaryota; Metazoa; Arthropoda; Insecta; Diptera; Culicidae
Exons: 3
Source: RefSeq, a predicted model, not a curated record
UAAAAUAUCACUUUGAACGUGCAACUGGGAUAAAUCCCACACGCUUUAUUGAAAAUUAUUUGUCUAAGCGGAAAAGACUUAUUCAAGUUUCGAGAACGUACAUCGAUAAAAAACUGCACAUUAACGACACUGCAACAGACUUGGAAAUUUUUGUUGGUGUUUCAAAAAUAUUGAAGGAAGAUUUUUCUACAGUCUUGAUCAGUUUUGAUAAUGAUGCUACCGUCUUGGAUACAACUACUUCAUCUCCUAUUCUCGCAUUAGUUGGUCGCAAUAUGUACUAUGUCCACGCUGAAGGCAUGAUUGUGACAGAAGGCGUAGACAAUAUCGUGGAAGCUGUAUUGAAUUUCCUCAUGUUUUUUUUUGUAUAUUUUUACAAAUAUCCUGCUUCAGUUUCAAAAACUUUAGAGUUUUUUCAGUUAUAUUUACUGAAACUUAAGCCUGAUAAAGGCACCAGAUCAGUUGCAACAAUAGUAGGUAAACAACAGCGACAAGUUCGAACACUUUUAAUCAAACUAGCUAAAAUUCAAUAGAUUUUUUCUUUUACUUGUAUUCAAACAAAAACUUGCCAUUUAUGCUUUCGUAGGGACGUGUUUGUUAACAUUAUUAAAAAAAGUCUUCGCCGACUGUUCUUCAACGCAACGUCAAAAAAUGUUUAAUUCUACUAAUUUAUAUAAGAAGACAAAAUCGUUUCAGUAAGUAACUCGAAUGCCAAAGCUUUGCUUUAUUAAAAGAUUUAAA